Molecule: ribosomal RNA, 664 nt
Filed under: uncultured bacterium
Lineage: Bacteria
Description: bacterial SSU rRNA
Rfam family: Bacterial small subunit ribosomal RNA
Source: RNAcentral
GGUAGUCCACGCCGUAAACGAUGUCGACUUGGAGGCUGUGAGCAUGACUCGUGGCUUCCGGAGCUAACGCGUUAAGUCGACCGCCUGGGGAGUACGGCCGCAAGGUUAAAACUCAAAUGAAUUGACGGGGGCCCGCACAAGCGGUGGAGCAUGUGGUUUAAUUCGAUGCAACGCGAAGAACCUUACCUGCUCUUGACAUCCACGGAAUUUGGCAGAGAUGCCUUAGUGCCUUCGGGAACCGUGAGACAGGUGCUGCAUGGCUGUCGUCAGCUCGUGUUGUGAAAUGUUGGGUUAAGUCCCGCAACGAGCGCAACCCUUAUCCUUUGUUGCCAGCGAUUCGGUCGGGAACUCAAAGGAGACUGCCGGUGAUAAACCGGAGGAAGGUGGGGAUGACGUCAAGUCAUCAUGGCCCUUACGAGCAGGGCUACACACGUGCUACAAUGGCGCAUACAAAGAGAAGCGACCUCGCGAGAGCAAGCGGACCUCACAAAGUGCGUCGUAGUCCGGAUCGGAGUCUGCAACUCGACUCCGUGAAGUCGGAAUCGCUAGUAAUCGUGGAUCAGAAUGCCACGGUGAAUACGUUCCCGGGCCUUGUACACACCGCCCGUCACACCAUGGGAGUGGGUUGCAAAAGAAGUAGGUAGCUUAACCUUCGGGAGGGCGC